GGCUCACGAUGAACGCUAGCUACAGGCUUAACACAUGCAAGUCGAGGGGCAGCAUGGUCUUAGCUUGCUAAGGCCGAUGGCGACCGGCGCACGGGUGAGUAACGCGUAUCCAACCUGCCUUACACUCUUGGACAGCCUUCUGAAAGGGAGAUUAAUACAAGAUGUUAUCAUGAGUAAGCAUUUUCGCAUGAUUAAAGGUUUACCGGUGUAAGAUGGGGAUGCGUUCCAUUAGAUAGUAGGCGGGGUAACGGCCCACCUAGUCUUCGAUGGAUAGGGGUUCUGAGAGGAAGGUCCCCCACAUUGGAACUGAGACACGGUCCAAACUCCUACGGGAGGCAGCAGUGAGGAAUAUUGGUCAAUGGACGAGAGUCUGAACCAGCCAAGUAGCGUGAAGGAUGAAGGUUCUAUGGAUUGUAAACUUCUUUUAUACGGGAAUAAACGAAUCCACGUGUGGAUUUUUGCAUGUACCGUAUGAAUAAGGAUCGGCUAACUCCGUGCCAGCAGCCGCGGUAAUACGGAGGAUCCGAGCGUUAUCCGGAUUUAUUGGGUUUAAAGGGAGCGUAGAUGGGUUGUUAAGUCAGUUGUGAAAGUUUGCGGCUCAACCGUAAAAUUGCAAUUGAUACUGGCAGUCUUGAGUACAGUUGAGGUAGGCGGAAUUCGUGGUGUAGCGGUGAAAUGCUUAGAUAUCACGAAGAACUCCGAUUGCGAAGGCAGCUUACUAACCUGUAACUGACAUUGAUGCUCGAAAGUGUGGGUAUCAAACAGGAUUAGAUACCCUGGUAGUCCACACGGUAAACGAUGAAUACUCGCUGUAGGCGAUAUACAGUCUGCGGCCAAGCGAAAGCAUUAAGUAUUCCACCUGGGGAGUACGCCGGCAACGGUGAAACUCAAAGGAAUUGACGGGGGCCCGCACAAGCGGAGGAACAUGUGGUUUAAUUCGAUGAUACGCGAGGAACCUUACCCGGGCUUAAAUUGCAACCGAAUAUGGCGGAAACGCUAUAGCUAGCAAUAGCGGUUGUGAAGGUGCUGCAUGGUUGUCGUCAGCUCGCGCCGUGAGGUGUCGGCUUAAGUGCCAUAACGAGCGCAACCCUUGCCGAUAGUUACUAACAGGUUAUGCUGAGGACUCUGUCGGGACUGCCAUCGUAAGAUGUGAGGAAGGUGGGGAUGACGUCAAAUCAGCACGGCCCUUACGUCCGGGGCUACACACGUGUUACAAUGGGGGGUACAGAGGGCUGCUACCACGCAAGUGGAUGCCAAUCCCAAAAACCUCUCUCAGUUCGGAUUGAAGUCUGCAACCCGACUUCAUGAAGCUGGAUUCGCUAGUAAUCGCGCAUCAGCCACGGCGCGGUGAAUACGUUCCCGGGCCUUGUACACACCGCC
This 1380-nucleotide ribosomal RNA is filed under the name uncultured bacterium. RNAcentral describes it as "16S ribosomal RNA". It matches the Rfam family "Bacterial small subunit ribosomal RNA", at positions 21 to 1394 of the family's 1533-position model. The record is from RNAcentral.